Gallus gallus (chicken) is the source of this 638-nucleotide long non-coding RNA. RefSeq lists it as uncharacterized. The transcript has 2 exons. The record is from RefSeq and is a predicted model, not a curated record. Lineage: Eukaryota; Metazoa; Chordata; Aves; Galliformes; Phasianidae.
UCCAUGGUUGCUACCAGCAGUCACCUCUCCUUAUCUGACGUUGCUGCUUCCCUGUGCUGCAGCUGCUGCUGCCCUCCCACCUCACACAAAUCCCUGCCCACCGUUAGCAGCUGGAUGGCAUCCCUCCUGCAGGAUUCUUCCAAGGAUAUCCUCCAAAAACAGGAGGUGAAUGCUUAAAACCAAACCUCCAGAGCAGGGAGCAGCCGUGCUUAUGUCAGUGAUCAGACAGGUCACAAGGCCUGCACAAAGCCCACGUGGCACAAGUAACAGGAAGCACAUCUAUGAUGCCCCCAGUUUGCUGCUUAUGGUAAAGGGGAGAUUCUGCUAACGGGAGGGCUCAAACACCACAGCACAGGGAACAACAAACUCCAGCUGGGGUAGAAACUGCUGCACAACGGGGAGCAAAGCUGCAGCUGUUAGCACACGUGAAGUCUUGGUAGUGCUGAGACCCCACGUCAGCCCAGCAUCCCAUUACUUACUGCCUCCUUCUCUCGGUCCAUAAUGGUUUCCAGCUCCUCGAAAUGGCGAAGCUUUAUCUCCAGCUUCUUCAUCUGCGUUUCCACCAGGAGAGCAACCAGGGACUUGAUUUUUCUUUCUUCCACUGCUGCUAGGUGCUGAGAAUAAAACACAGAGCUCUG